ACCCCUCUCUCCCUUCGCUGACUCUCUUUUCGGACUCAGCCCACCUGCACCCUGGUGAAAUAAACAGCUUUAUUGCUCACACAAAGCCUGUUUGGUGGUCUCUUCACACGGACGUGAGUGAAAUUUGGUGCCAUGACUUGGAUCAGAGGACAUCCUUUGGGAGAUCAGUCCCUUGGCCUCCUGCUCUUUGCUCCAUGAGAAAGAUCCACCUACGACCUCUGGUCCUCAGACCAACCAGCCCAAGGAACAUCUCACCAAUUUUAAAUCCGGAAGUUCAAGCUGCUAGAUGGACAGGUCAAAUGAAGAAACAGAUGCCUGACCACCACUAAGCUGUAAUUGAUAUUGCAGUUGAGGUACAAGAUGUGAAUCUAAAAGAAAUCACCUUGGAUGUCUAGCCCCAUCCUCAAAUAAUUUCAGCUCGGCUGUCUGAUGACUACAGCCAUACAAGAAACCCCAACAGCCAACAUAUGGAAACAACCUAAAUGUCUGUCGACAGGUGAAUGAAUAAAGAAAAUGUGGUAUAUACAUACAGCAGAAUAUUGUUCAGUCUUAAAAAAGAAAGAAACCUUACAAUAUGCAGCAUCACGAAUGAACAUGGAGGACAUUAUGCUAAAUGAAAUAAGCCAGUCACAGAAGGAACAGACACUGCCUGAUUCCAGUCGUAGGAGAUAACUAGUAUUGUCAAAUUCAUAAAAUUGACAAUCGAAUGGUGGUUGCUAGUGGGUGGGCAGAGGGGAAGACGAGUUAUUGUUCAAUGUGUAUAAAGUUUUAAUUAUGCAAGAUGAGUAAGUUCUAGCGAUCUAUUGUACAACUUUGUGCCUAUAGUUAACAAUGAUGUAUUGUGGAUGUAAAAAUUUGUUAAAGAGGAUACAUCUCAUAUUGUUUUCUUACCACAGUAAAAAAAAGAAACAAAUAAACAAACAAGAAUAUAUAUAUUACUGAAGACUGUAUGUCUGAUGAUUAAAAAUUAAGAAUAUACUCAAUACCACAUAAUUUACAUGAUAGAUACAAAAGGUGUUGGCAACAAAGCAUGUCUGUCAAAUUG
Molecule: long non-coding RNA, 1045 nt
Organism: Nomascus leucogenys (northern white-cheeked gibbon)
Lineage: Eukaryota; Metazoa; Chordata; Mammalia; Primates; Hylobatidae
Exons: 3
Source: RefSeq, a predicted model, not a curated record